UUUUGACUGAAGCUUCGACCUAGUAUCAGAGUUUGCACAACCAGCCAGUCCAGUCUGCAUCAUGUGCAUCAUAGCAUAUUUAUUUUUCAAAAGAAACGCAUUGAAAAAAAUAUUGAAAAAAGAAAAGGAAAAAAGAAGAAAAAAAACUAAUCUCUGCAUGCAUAUCAUUUCUGAGGUACAUUCCCGAGCUUGACUACUGAUAGAGAUGGCGAC
RNAcentral lists this long non-coding RNA (213 nucleotides) under Lathyrus oleraceus (garden pea). RNAcentral's name for it is "Pisum sativum (pea) long non-coding RNA (PSAT_LNC022642)". The record is from RNAcentral. Lineage: Eukaryota; Viridiplantae; Streptophyta; Magnoliopsida; Fabales; Fabaceae.